CCUACGGGAGGCAGCAGUGGGGGAUAUUGCACAAUGGGGGGAACCCUGAUGCAGCGACGCCGCGUGGGUGAAGAAGCGCCUCGGCGCGUAAAGCCCUGUCAGCAGGGAAGAAAAUGACGGUACCUGAGUAAGAAGCACCGGCUAAAUACGUGCCAGCAGCCGCGGUAAUACGUAUGGUGCAAGCGUUAUCCGGAUUUACUGGGUGUAAAGGGAGCGCAGGCGGGACGGCAAGCCUGAUGUGAAAGCCCGCGGCCCAACCGCGGGCCUGCAUUGAGAACUACCGGGCUGGAGUGAAGGAGAGGUAGGCGGAAUUCCUAGUGUAGCGGUGAAAUGCGUAGAUAUUAGGAGGAACACCAGUGGCGAAGGCGGCCUGCUGGACGGUGACUGACGCUGAGGCUCGAAAGCGUGGGGAGCAAACAGGAUUAGAUACCCGUGUAGUC
This 440-nucleotide ribosomal RNA is filed under the name uncultured bacterium. Its description in RNAcentral is "partial 16S ribosomal RNA". It matches the Rfam family "Bacterial small subunit ribosomal RNA", at positions 338 to 795 of the family's 1533-position model. The record is from RNAcentral.